This 1974-nucleotide ribosomal RNA is filed under the name human gut metagenome. Its description in RNAcentral is "bacterial LSU rRNA". It matches the Rfam family "Bacterial large subunit ribosomal RNA", at positions 3 to 1985 of the family's 2925-position model. The record is from RNAcentral.
UUAAGUUAUUAAGGGCGCAUGGUGGAUGCCUUGGCACUAGGAGCCGAUGAAGGACGGGACUAACACCGAUAUGCUUCGGGGAGCUGUAAGUAAGCUUUGAUCCGGAGAUUUCCGAAUGGGGGAACCCAACUUGUUAUGCAAGUUAUCACCUAAUGAAUAUAUAGUUAGGUUGAAGGUAGACGUUGUGAACUGAAACAUCUCAUUAGCAACAGGAAUAGAAAGAAAAAUCGAUACCGUCAGUAGCGGCGAGCGAAAUCGGUAGAGCCCAAACCAAAGUGCUUGCACUUUGGGGUUGUAGGACUGACAUUGUGGAGUUACAAAGUUAACAUUUAGCAGAAUCAGCUGGGAAGCUGAGCGAGACAGGGUGAUAGCCCCGUAUGCGAAAAGUGUUGACCUCCCGUCAGGAUCCUGAGUACGGCCGGACACGUGAAAUCCGGUCGGAAUCCGCGAGGACCAUCUCGCAAGGCUAAAUACUCCCUAGUGACCGAUAGUGAACCAGUACCGUGAGGGAAAGGUGAAAAGCACCCCGGAAGGGGAGUGAAAAAGUUCCUGAAACCAUGUGCCUACAAGAAGUUAGAGCCCGUUAAUGGGUGAUAGCGUGCCUUUUGUAGAAUGAACCGGCGAGUUACGAUACCAUGCAAGGUUAAGGUGGAAAGACCGGAGCCGUAGCGAAAGCGAGUCUGAAAUGGGCGAAUUAGUAUGUUGUUGUAGACCCGAAACCAGGUGACCUACCCAUGUCCAGGGUGAAGGUGCGGUAAAACGCACUGGAGGCCCGAACCCGUGCAUGUUGAAAAAUGCUGGGAUGAGGUGUGGGUAGCGGUGAAAUUCCAAUCGAACUUGGAGAUAGCUGGUUCUCUCCGAAAUAGCUUUAGGGCUAGCCUCGGAAUGUAGCGUGUUGGAGGUAGAGCACUGUUUUGGUGCGGGGCCCAUCUCGGGUUACCAAAUUAAGAUAAACUCCGAAUGCCAAUCACGUAUGUCCGGGAGUCAGACAGUGAGUGAUAAGAUCCAUUGUCGAAAGGGGAACAGCCCAGAUCGUCAGUUAAGGUCCCUAAGUGUGUGUUAAGUGGAAAAGGAUGUGGAGUUGCAUAGACAACUAGGAUGUUGGCUUAGAAGCAGCCACCAUUUAAAGAGUGCGUAAUAGCUCACUAGUCGAGUGAUUCUGCGCCGAAAAUGUACCGGGGCUAAACACACCACCGAAACUACGGGUGCCACGUAAGUGGCGCGAUAGGAGAGCGUUCUAAGGGCGAUGAAGUCAGACCGUGAGGACUGGUGGAGCGCUUAGAAGUGAGAAUGCCGGUAUGAGUAGCGAAAGACAGGUGAGAAUCCUGUCCACCGUAUGACUAAGGUUUCCUGGGGAAGGCUCGUCCUCCCAGGGUUAGUCGGGACCUAAGGCGAGGCCGAGAGGCGUAGUCGAUGGAUAACAGGUUGAGAUUCCUGUACCAGGUGAACAUGUUUGAACGAUGGAGGGACGCAGAAGGCUAACGGAUCCCAGCUGCUGGAUAUGCUGGGUUAAAUAAUAAGUCUUAGAUCGAGUUAAAUGCUUUAUCUUUUAAGGACAAGUUAUGAUGAGGACCGAAAUAAAGUAGGGAAGUCCGUGAUGUCACGCUGCCGAGAAAAGCUUCUAGUUAGUGUUUACCUGCCCGUACCGCAAACCGACACAGGUAGUCGAGGAGAGCAUCCUAAGGUGAGCGAGUGAACUCUCGUUAAGGAACUCGGCAAAAUGACCCCGUAACUUCGGGAGAAGGGGUGCUCAGCGAAAGCUGAGCCGCAGUGAAUAGGCCCAGGCGACUGUUUAUCAAAAACACAGGUUUCUGCAAAAUCGUAAGAUGACGUAUAGGGGCUGACGCCUGCCCGGUGCUGGAAGGUUAAAAGGAGUGCUUAGCUUCGGCGAAGGUACGAAUUGAAGCCCCAGUAAACGGCGGCCGUAACUAUAACGGUCCUAAGGUAGCGAAAUUCCUUGUCGGGUAAGUUCCG